Molecule: transfer RNA, 75 nt
Filed under: bacterium
Lineage: Bacteria
Description: tRNA-Val
Rfam family: tRNA
About the family: Transfer RNA (tRNA) molecules are approximately 80 nucleotides in length.
Source: RNAcentral
ACGCGGUUAGCUCAGUGGUAGAGCAUCACCUUGACACGGUGGAGGUCACUGGUUCAAAUCCAGUACCGCGUACCA